GAUGAAGAACGUAGCGAAAUGCGAUAAGUAGUGUGAAUUGCAGAAUUCAGUGAAUCAUCGAAUCUUUGAACGCACAUUGCGCCCUUUGGUAUUCCAAAGGGCAUGCCUGUUCGAGCGUCAUUUGUACCCUCAAGCUUUGCUUGGUGUUGGGCGUCUUGUCUCUAGCUUUGCUGGAGACUCGCCUUAAAGUAAUUGGCAGCCGGCCUACUGGUUUCGGAGCGCAGCACGAGUCGCACUCUCUAUCAGCAAAGGUCUAGCAUCCAUUAAGCCUUUUUUUCAACUUUUGACCUCGGAUCAGGUAGGGAUACCCGCUGAACUUAAGCAUAUCAAUAAGCGGAGGA
Molecule: unclassified non-coding RNA, 341 nt
Filed under: soil metagenome
Description: partial contains 5.8S ribosomal RNA, internal transcribed spacer 2, and large subunit ribosomal RNA
Rfam family: 5.8S ribosomal RNA (bases 1-120)
Source: RNAcentral